CGAUAAGACUGAAUAAUGGUAAACUAUAAUUUUUACAUUUCAAAAGUUUCUAGAAAAAAUGACAGGAAGAACAAUACUCAAUAAAAAGCUGUGCCUAGUGCAGCUAGAUAAGGACAAAACAUGACCUGACUGCAAGGGCCUACUUCGACAUAACUAGGUCUCAAAUUGACACGGUUCAGUAAAAAUUGUCAUGAGGUAGAAUAUAUCCAAGGUCAAGGCCAUCAAGAAAAUCCCUUAAAGUUUCCCCGUCUUCUUGUCAAAAACUAAUAAACAGUUAUUUUACAAGAAUUAACUUAUUUCAUUUCCAUUUGGCAAGGAAUAUUCUAUAGACAUGAAGGCGACUUACAAUGUAUUAACGUGUCAAACAUUUUUCUUCAUGGGUUGUCAAACUGUAGAGAAAAAUGAUAAAUGCUGUUUUAGUCCAUAUCAUUUCUUUAUUACAGUUAUCAUGUUGGUUGAUUGUUGCCAAUUUUUAGUUAAACUGGUUGAAUGAUUAAAGAAUGAGGGGUUAUUUAAAGUAUCUUCUUUUUAUGGAUAAUCCAAUGCACAAAUGUCUUCAGCUCAUGUGAAAACAAACAAGUGAAAAUGUAAUAUGCGAUUUAAGAUAACUAACUUAUGCUGUCACUCAUGCUUUGGGUAUUACCAAUGGUAACAAUUGUUAACAUACUUAAUACACGUACAUCAUGGACGAAUAUAAUAACAAGUUUUAUUAUAAAUAUCUU
Molecule: long non-coding RNA, 722 nt
Filed under: Mytilus galloprovincialis (Mediterranean mussel)
Lineage: Eukaryota; Metazoa; Mollusca; Bivalvia; Mytilida; Mytilidae
Source: RNAcentral